GUCAGGAUGGCCGAGUGGUCUAAAGCGCUAGAUUCAAGUUUUGGUCCUCGUGAGAGGGCGUGGGUUCAAAUCCCAAUUCUGACG
Molecule: transfer RNA, 84 nt
Filed under: Ipomoea nil (Japanese morning glory)
Lineage: Eukaryota; Viridiplantae; Streptophyta; Magnoliopsida; Solanales; Convolvulaceae
Rfam family: tRNA
About the family: Transfer RNA (tRNA) molecules are approximately 80 nucleotides in length. Their secondary structure includes four short double-helical elements and three loops (D, anti-codon, and T loops). Further hydrogen bonds mediate the characteristic L-shaped molecular structure. tRNAs have two regions of fundamental functional importance: the anti-codon, which is responsible for specific mRNA codon recognition, and the 3' end, to which the tRNAs corresponding amino acid is attached (by aminoacyl-tRNA synthetases). tRNAs cope with the degeneracy of the genetic code in two manners: having more than one tRNA (with a specific anti-codon) for a particular amino acid; and 'wobble' base-pairing, i.e. permitting non-standard base-pairing at the 3rd anti-codon position.
Source: Rfam by way of RNAcentral